GACUACAGGGGUAUCUAAUCCUGUUUGCUCCCCACGCUUUCGUGCCUCAGCGUCAGUUACAGUUUAGUGAGCUGCCUUCGCAAUCGGUGUUCUGUGUCAUAUCUAAGCAUUUCACCGCUACAUGACACAUUCCGCCCACCUCAAAUGUACUCAAGACCAUCAGUAUCAAUGGCAGUUCCCAAGUUAAGCUUGGGGCUUUCACCACUGACUUAAUAGUCCGCCUACGCACCCUUUAAACCCAAUAAAUCCGGAUAACGCUUGGGACCUUCGUAUUACCGCGGCUGCUGGCACGAAGUUAGCCGUCCCUUAUUCUUUUGGUACAAUCAGCCCCGGUAGAAACCAGGGGUUUUUUCCCAAACAAAAGCAGUUUACAGUGCAUAGCACUUUCAUCCUGCACGCGGCAUGGCUGGAUCAGGCUUGCGCCCAUUGUCCAAUAUUCCUUACUGCAGCCCCCCGUAGG
This 460-nucleotide ribosomal RNA is filed under the name uncultured Bacteroidota bacterium. RNAcentral describes it as "uncultured Bacteroidetes bacterium partial 16S ribosomal RNA". The record is from RNAcentral. Lineage: Bacteria; Pseudomonadati; Bacteroidota.